ACACCGGCUUCAGCGCCCGAGCGUGCGCGCGCGUCUCCGCUCGUCGCCCGGCUCGGCGUCGGGAGUGCACUCUGUGUGGCCGCUGCUGCAGUGUUGUUGUGGUUGUGAGAAGGCGGCGGCGGCGGCGGAGUAGCAGCCGGACCAGACGCCCUAGUAGCUCAGUCGCUGCCCUGCGCCGGGCCUGGCAGGGAGCCUGGUGAGAUGGUGGAGGAGGAGGCUGUGCCGUGGCGGGCCUUGCCAUGUCCUGCUGCCUGAUGGAGUCUUGCUCUGCUGCCUAGGCUGGUGUGGAAUGGCACAAUCUCAGCUCACUGUGACCUCAGCUUCCCAGAUUCAAGCGAUUCUCCCCCCUCAGCCUCCCAAUCCCCCACUCCCACCCCUGCGAGUAGCUGGGAUUACAGGCACCCGCCAUCAUGCCUGGCUAAUUUUUGUAUUUUUGUAGAGACGAGGUUUCACCAUGUUGGCCAGGCUGGUCUUGAACUGACCUCAGGUGAUCCACCCACCUUGGCCUCCCAAGUGGUGAAAUAACAGGUGUGAGCCACCGCUCCCCAACUCAACCCAAAUUUUUAAAAUGGGCGGAGUAUUUGAACAGGUUCCUCAACAAAGAAGAUACAUGUGGCAAAUAAGCGCACAAAUGAAUGCUCCACACCACUAGUAAUUAAGGGAAUUCAAUUACUACUUACUGGAGGCUAAGAGACCAGUUAGGGGGUUACGGGAGAAAUUGUGAAUUAAAAUUAUGUAUGAUAGUAGCGGUGGGGAUGGAGAGGAGAGGAUAUGAGGAAUAUUGAGGAGAUAAAAUUGCAAAAGCUUCACACUUGGUUGGAAGUGGAAGCUGACAUGUAAGAGAAUCAGCAAUGAUUCUCAGGUUUCCAACUUGAGCAAAGGGGCGGAGGCCACUGAUAGACUCUGAGGUCAUAAAACACAAGGUGGAGCAGAUCUAGGCGGGUAUGGAGGAAGAGAUGUGACCAUUGAAGUAUUUUCUUUGUUGUUGUGUUGUUGGAAUAUUUCAAGUCAAAUCCCUGACAUCAUGUUGUUCCAUCUCUACACAUUUGAACAUGUAUCACUAAAAGUAGGGACACUUUCUCCCAUAAUCACAUUGCUGUGAUCGCUCCUGAAGAUGUACUCAAUGAUUCUGAUUAUCAUCCCAUACAUAGUCCACAGUCAUACAUACUUGAUUAUCACAAGUAUUUCUCUUUUUGCAGUCUGUCUAUUGGAAUCAGAAUCCUGACAAGGUCCACCCUGCACACCACUUUCUCACAAAGGUCCUCUCAUCCUGAGCAGUCCUCCCUGCCACUGAUUUGUUGUCCUUCAUAAUGUCCCACAAUCUGCACCUGUCUUUGUUCUCCCUCAUGAUACUGCUUCACUUCUAUGCCCUGAAUUUCCUAUAAUGGGGAAGGAGCUCUAAAGCCUGGUUGUAGGAACACUUCAUGAACAGUACUGUGCAUGGCACACAAUCUCUAGCCAUCCCACUUGUCACGCUAAAAUCGAUGACUCGCUUCUGGUAGUGUCAGCCUGACUCUUUGGACAUGCUGAGUAAGCAGAGCGAGAAAGGAAGAGGGCUUCGACCAGAGGAAGAGGAGCAGAGAAAACAGGGAAGGAGAAUUCAGGGAAGUGGGGAAAAUCGAGGGAGCAGCAGCGUGGGGACUGAAGAAAGAAGGGUCAGGUGUCGCUGGGCAGCCAAGAAGAGACAAACAGGUCAGAUGGUUUUCACAACUGAUGGCUGAUAACUUGUAUGAGAGCAGCUUUAAUGGAGUGAUUAAGGUGUAAGUCAGAUUGCCCUGUGAUGGAGGUGUGAAUAGGGGUGGGAAGUGGAGGGCAAGGAAUAUCAAUAACAAUUUCAGGAAUUUGGCUGUAAGACAAGGGAAAAAGAUGGGAGACGUGAGCAUAGGAAGAGGGAUGUUGAAAAAAGAGGUUGUGUUUAUUCUGUGGCUCUUUUGAUGGGAGACACAUUCAUGCUGGGAGGUUGAAUAUUUAGGAACCAUAAGGAACUAUUACUAACAAAGAAAGUUCCAAAAACAUUCCUGGUUGGAAGGUUUCACUGUUUUGUUCACUAAUUUCAUAUAUUUUUCUAACUCUCUACAAUUGCUUUUUGUUGUGAGCUCAACUGGUCUAGGAGACACAGAUUUUGAAACGUGAUGAAAUUAUUCAAUAAAGCUGGUGUUAGAUGC
This is a long non-coding RNA of Homo sapiens (human), 2165 nucleotides long. The record is from Ensembl. NCBI's taxonomy places the organism in Eukaryota, Metazoa, Chordata, Mammalia, Primates, Hominidae.